ACUGCUGUAGAUAAGCUUCUCUACAACUAAGUAAAACUACGUCGUUUUGGUCUAAAAAUUAAGAAAAAAAUACUUUGUUUCCUAAGAUUCUAUCUUCUUCAACGGCAGAAUAGCGAUGAACGUUUUCCCUCUUCUCCUCCUUUGCUACUUGUGUUCUUUCUUUCCGUCUUGAGAGCGUUCUUCUCCUUCAUCGCCGGCAGCCCUUCCCCUCCACCACCGGCGGUUAUGGGACUCUAGAGGAGCUUCUUGAAGUCAUAACUUGGGCUCAACUUGGGAUUCAUGAUAAACCGGUAUAUGACUUGUACCAUUUUGCUGGGAUCCUUGAGAAGUUUAGUUGAGCUAUUAGCCUUGCUAGAUUUGACAUUCCACAACUUGCAGGUUGCUACCCGGAUGAACAUUACAUUCCAACCUUCCUGAAUAUGUUCCACGGUUCGCUUAAUUCAAACAGAACAGUGACAUGGGUUGAUUGGUCAAUGCUGGGUCCUCAUCCAGCAACCUAUGGGGGAGACAACAUAACAGUGGGUUUUAUACAAGCUAUAAGGAAAAAUGGAUCCCUUUGUCGAUAUAAUUCAGACAUGACAUCCGUUUGUUACCUCUUUGCUCGCAAGUUUGGUCAUAGUGCAUUGGAGCCUUUACUUAACCUUUCUUCCGAAGUGAUGAACUUUUGAAUUUUUUUCCUUUUUUUAUUGUAUAAGAGACAAGAUAUGUAACUUGUUUUUUGGGCUCUAGAUUUUAGUAGAGAAUUUAACAACUUCAGCACUAAAUCAGUAUGUAUUGGUAUAGCUGUACAGGUAUUGUUAGAAUUUUGUAUUCUCUACUAGAGAAUAGCAUAAUGUUGCAGAAACUGCAUUUCAUUCUUUCGAAGAAGGAAUCCAUCAAU
This is a long non-coding RNA of Gastrolobium bilobum, 880 nucleotides long. RefSeq lists it as uncharacterized. NCBI's taxonomy places the organism in Eukaryota, Viridiplantae, Streptophyta, Magnoliopsida, Fabales, Fabaceae. The record is from RefSeq and is a predicted model, not a curated record. The transcript is spliced from 3 exons.